AUGUGACAAACAGCAAACUGACAGAAAACAAGUGCAGUACACACGCACACACACACAACACUUGCAGCAAUGCAAUGCGCAUGCGUUGAAGGCGUGGAAAGUGAGAAAAAUUACACUUCACCGCUUACAUCUCUCGGGUGAAAUGAUAAAUGAACGGCUUAUGAUUUGUGAUAAAAAUGGAAUUAACAUGACACCGCAGCGCGAUUUGACAGUAGCGCUCAACGUUGACGACAACGUGCUUGCUGAUCAGCAUACCUGAAAAAACAUACAUCAAGGACUACUUCAAUGAUAUCUUCAAACUGAUCUGGUGUUUUCGGAAAGUUUUUGAAAGCAAGACUGAGCUUUGUUCACACAGCAUUGUCUCCGAGAUCCAUCAUGUGUGUGAUGUAUCACAGUCAAUGAGAUAUUCGAAAAUUUGGAAUAUGUGUUGAUCAGAGUGGAGUGAUUGCAUACAAGUACUAUGUUUAUAGAUAUCGUAUUUCAGUUAACUUUGCCCGCCCUGAUGCCGAAAUUUUGGAGAUUCUCAUCACAGAUUCCAUCUGCACAGUUGUGCAACAGUACAACACCGAGCAUACGAUAUUGACAAAUGCGAGUCUCGUUGUAUGUAUUAUGCAAUGUAGACAAGUAAACGUAUAUUGGCUCUCUAGCCAACUCGUCUGGUUCAGAUAGUUCCUGCACAUCGGCCAAAGCUUUUCAGGCUAUUAAAUUUAAGUGUGGCAUAAUGACGCGAAAGCGCAAAUUGAAGCGUAUACGUGGCUGGGGACGUGGCUAUGAGAUGGAAAAUGACACCGAAGAUAUGAAUAAAGAAUACAUCGAAACUUACUGAGCUGAUAUUUUGUGUCGUCGUAUCGAAACUGUUGUUACACACAUAUUCCCUGUGUGACAGUACUACAUUGAAAAUUAUGCCUAAGACUUUAUUUGUAUGCUAUAAAACUAAAUCUCUAAUAAUUUUCCUUUUAAUUUUUAACACUAGACUCUCUAUUUUGUAGUACCUACUAAUACCACUUUUACACCAAACCACUAUUCUCAAUCCUCUAUAUAUAAUAAUUAUUUAUAAUUAUGUAAAAGACAAUUUUGUAUUGCAAAUGUACUAUGCAGUUUUACCGCU
Zeugodacus cucurbitae (melon fly) is the source of this 1108-nucleotide long non-coding RNA. RefSeq lists it as uncharacterized. The record is from RefSeq and is a predicted model, not a curated record. The transcript is spliced from 6 exons. NCBI's taxonomy places the organism in Eukaryota, Metazoa, Arthropoda, Insecta, Diptera, Tephritidae.